This 456-nucleotide ribosomal RNA is filed under the name uncultured bacterium. RNAcentral describes it as "bacterial SSU rRNA". It matches the Rfam family "Bacterial small subunit ribosomal RNA", at positions 28 to 492 of the family's 1533-position model. The record is from RNAcentral.
GAUGAACGCUGGCGGCGUGCCUAAUACAUGCAAGUCGAGCGGUAAGGCUCCUACUCUGUGUUUAAGGAAAUUUGAACAUAGGGUUGGAGUACACGAGCGGCGGACGGCUGAGUAACACGUAGGAACGUACCCCAAAGUGAGGGAUAAGCACCGGAAACGGUGUCUAAUACCGCAUGUGGUCUUCGGACUAAAGCUCCGGCGCUUUGGGAACGGCCUGCGCAUGAUUAGCUUGUUGGGAGGUAAUGGCUCACCAAGGCGACGAUCAUUAGCUGGUCUGAGAGGAUGAUCAGCCAGACUGGGACUGAGAACGGCCCAGACUCCUACGGGAGGCAGCAGUAGGGAAUUUUCCACAAUGGGCGAAAGCCUGAUGGAGCAACGCCGCGUGCAGGAUGAAUGCCUUCGGGUUGUAAACUGCUUUUAUCUGUGACGAAUUUGACGGUAGCAGAUGAAUAAGGA